This 253-nucleotide ribosomal RNA is filed under the name uncultured bacterium. RNAcentral describes it as "partial 16S ribosomal RNA". It matches the Rfam family "Bacterial small subunit ribosomal RNA", at positions 524 to 776 of the family's 1533-position model. The record is from RNAcentral.
UACGAAGGGGGCUAGCGUUGCUCGGAAUUACUGGGCGUAAAGCGCACGUAGGCGGGUUGCUAAGUCGGGGGUGAAAUCCUGGAGCUCAACUCCAGAACUGCCUUCGAAACUGACGAUCUUGAGUUCGGGAGAGGUGAGUGGAACUGCGAGUGUAGAGGUGAAAUUCGUAGAUAUUCGCAAGAACACCAGUGGCGAAGGCGGCUCACUGGCCCGAUACUGACGCUGAGGUGCGAAAGCGUGGGGAGCAAACAGG